Molecule: long non-coding RNA, 813 nt
Organism: Ochotona princeps (American pika)
Lineage: Eukaryota; Metazoa; Chordata; Mammalia; Lagomorpha; Ochotonidae
Exons: 3
Source: RefSeq, a predicted model, not a curated record
CACUGGACGCUCGCUUGGGCAGCAGAAGCCAUAGGGCAGGAUGGGAAGGAACGGGAGGGGGCACUCAGGGCUAGGCCGGCAAGGGGCCUGCGCGCUGGCCGUCCUCCUGUUCUGGCUGUGCCUCCCACCGCUGAGCGCACAGCCGUCCAAUCAGAACAACCAGAACCUGGCGAAGGUAUGCGGGAGGAGCAAAGCCACAGAGAAGAUCUUUGGUGGCCAGGCAGCAGGACCAGAACGGUGGCCGUGGCAAGCCAGCCUGGUUUACAGAGGUGGGCACACCUGCGGAGCCACCCUCAUCUCCAGCACCUGGGUACUCUCUGCAGCUCACUGCUUGCAAAGAUGUCCUAGUAUGGGCUGGUGCCCACCUUGGCCCCAGUGAGCCCCUCUAGCUGAAUGCCAUGUCUGUACAUCACCUGAUGCCCAUGUCUGUGUCACAUCUUGCCCUUCAUCUCUCACUCUGAGGACACACCACCUCCAACCUUUACCCCCAACAUGGGUAUGCCUUCCUGGAUGUAGUGGCUGUGUCACAGGCAUGCACGUCACAUUUCAACAGAUAAAUGGAAAUGUUUUCCAGAGUUAGAAUUUUUUAUUAAUAUUAAGACAAUGGAUUUUAUACAUUUCAUAGGAGGUCCAGCUCCAAGAAGAUGAUUCACACUCCCCUGCUCUCCACAAUGUGCCCCUCCACUUCCUAUCUUCUGUCUCUUCAACAAUACUUACACAGUCAUAAUGUUAGUCAACCCACUCUCCAUUCAUAGGCUUAAUUUACAGCAAGCACUCUAUGCUACAGGUGAAAAGAACACAAGACCACAUUUC